UACGUAGGCAGCGAGCGUUGUUCGGAGUUACUGGGCGUAAAGCGUGCGUAGGCGGUUUUGUAAGUUUGGUGUGAAAUCUCCCGGCUCAACUGGGAGGGUGCGCCGAAAACUGCAAGGCUGGAGUGUGGGAGAGGUAGGCGGAAUUCCUGGUGUAGCGGUGAAAUGCGUAGAUAUCUGGAGGAACACCGGUGGCGAAGGCGGCAUCCUGGACCAACACUGACGCUGAGGAGCGAAAGCCAGGGGAGCAAACGGG
This 253-nucleotide ribosomal RNA is filed under the name uncultured bacterium. RNAcentral describes it as "partial 16S ribosomal RNA". It matches the Rfam family "Bacterial small subunit ribosomal RNA", at positions 524 to 776 of the family's 1533-position model. The record is from RNAcentral.